Pyrus x bretschneideri (Chinese white pear) is the source of this 3353-nucleotide long non-coding RNA. RefSeq lists it as uncharacterized. The transcript has 5 exons. The record is from RefSeq and is a predicted model, not a curated record. NCBI's taxonomy places the organism in Eukaryota, Viridiplantae, Streptophyta, Magnoliopsida, Rosales, Rosaceae.
CAACAACAGAAUCCAACAACAAUUCACAAAACAAUAGCAAUAACAACAACAGUAAGAACAACAACAGAAGAUUGGUAGGAGGUAAACUAACUGAAUCAUUGAGAGAAUAAUUGCCAACAAAUAAGGAUGGAUGUCCAGAUUAUCAUUGAACUCCAGAGUUGACCCUUCUACACAAGACUUAUGUUUGGUACUGAGCAUGAAGAAAUAUUUGACCAGAUAAUUCAAUACCACAUGAACAUUAGUAUUCUGAAUAAACAAUCUACUACAUGGAACUCAUCCAGCCAAGUGACACAAGUGUGGACUGCACAUUCGAUAUAGAAAACAUUAAGCACUAACAACAACGCUCCUACAAAAACGACUGGUUCCUCCUAUGAGAACCAUUGUCCAAGUAACAUUUUUCAAGUUUCAAAUUGGCCCAUUCUGAAAUUUAGUAUAAAAUGUUAUGUUAUCACUUAUAUCCUUAAGGAAUCUAGACCUUCUACCAUGAUAGAUCUAAACACUUGCAUUCCAAUUAAAUUCAAAAUAUGUAUAUUUAAAGUUUAUUAUGUCGUAACAGGAAAAUGAAAUGUAACCCAAGAACCUCCACCAACUAGAGACCACACCACAUCUAAGUUACACCACAAUCUCAUAGAUAGUACUUUGCAUCAUUUUUGGAUGACUGUCAUGAUAAAAAUAUAUAUAAAUCGAUAAAGGAACCAAAUCUAACCAUAUUUUUCUACAAAUAAACAAAAAUUAGACAAAUAAAAUUAGCAUAAAUCAUGAAAAGAAUGAAAAAGGACAUUAAUCAGCCUAAACCAAAAACUCUGAACCAAAAACUCAAACCUAGUACUAAUUAAAAAGAAUAACAUAAAUGAAGAAUUCAGAAGAAAAAAAAAAUAAAACACGAUAGCAGACUGAGAGAGAGAUAAGAUACGAGUACUGACUUGGAGGUUGGAGUUUCAAAAAAGACUGCGAGAGCUUGAAGAAGACGAUGAAACGGCGUCGUAGAGGUGUGUGCUGAAUCACAAGAGAUGAGGGAAUGGCUCAUGACAAAUUAGAAGCAGAGUUCACAUAUUAGAAGUAGAGUAGAGUUUUAUAGGAAAUUACCCUUUCUUAGAUACCUAAACCCUAAGAUAAAUCAGAAGUAGACCUUCUAAAAAAAAUGAAUAGAGAUGUAAUCAAACUUCUUUCUCAAUUUUUCUUGUUUCCUCCACAAACCCUAAUUUUUUCCCAAUUAAACUUUUCCACAAACCAUAUCACCUUGCCCAAUUAAUUUUUUUCCCGACCCUCCAUCCCCAAUUUUUUUUCCCUACACCCAUACACUCAUCCCUUUACCCCUCUUUCCCUCUCACUCUCCUAUCCCCAAAUUUAAAAAUCCAAACAAAUAAUAAUGAAAUUUUAGAGAAGAGAAGCUUACCAAAGGAAGGACGCCGAGCCGGAGAAACCUAAAGAACGAGAAAGAUCGCUGGUUUUUGGAACGAGAGAGAUCGCUGAUUUUCUGGUUCGGGUAUUGCGAGAGCGUGCUAAAGGCGAGAGCUGAAAGUACCUGGACUGUCGAAUGGAGAGGAUGAAAAGCAACUGCAAGAAAGCAGCAAUGGAGACACGGCAGCAACAUAUUCAAGUCGACCUGGGGAGGAAUUAAUGAAGGAAUGUAUAACGAAGGGACCGAGUUGGUUUAAGCUAUUGCGAAUAGUCUUUUAAAAAAACAUCACAGCUUUUCCAAAUGCACAGAGCCUUUAAAAAUACUGCCACCCUCUUCAAAACAAGCCAGUAAAGCUCAAAUCUUGCAGACAGCAAAGAAGGUAACAAUUGAAGAGUUGGCUUUUUUAUAUCCAGAUUUCUACAAGGUAUUUAAUCUGUUUAUCUUUUGUUAAAAAAGUUGAAUGCAUGUUGACACAUUUGGUUAAAAAUAUCAAUAUUAUUAAUCCUGUUUAUACAAGUCUUUGUUUAAUUGUUUUACAGUACAAAACCUUUCUCUGCAAAGCAUCUGUCAAGCAGUUUGACACACACUACGAUUGCUGGUACAGUGCUUGCCUAAACUGUGCCAAACAAAUGCACAAAGAUCAAACAACUGGGCAAUUGAUUUGCCAAAAACAUGCAAACCAGCUGCCAACUCCUUGGUAUUUUUUAACAUGUUAUGAUUUUAUCACCAAUUGCACAAAAUAUUUCUUCCAUUUCUUCUUUCUUGCCUGUGCCUCAAAUAAUUUGUUCAAAUUCUUUUCUUCCGUAAGUUUUCAUUCUUCUUUUUCACUUCAUGUCAAUUGAUCUUCAAAAUGUCUUGAUCAGAAAGAGUAAACACUAAACAGUUUUUCUCAACAUGUUUUCUUUGGCUUUGUUUAAGAAAUAUAUCUCUGAUGUUCAAUCUUAUCUAACUUAAACUUUUACAAGUACAAACUAAACUUGGUCCUUGAGGACGAAACCGUUGAAAUGAAUGCUUUAAUUAUUGGCAAAUCUGGUGAGAAGCUUUUUGGCACAACCUGCAGAGAUUUAGUGCUCAAUCCAAGACUGGUGGAUCAACAUCAAGUGCCAAAAGAAUUUCUUAGACUGAUAGGGCAGAAGAAGAUUUUUCAUUUACGGUUUGGAACUAGGAAAAACAUGUUAAACACGAAUGAUGUCUUGAUUUACAACGUUUCAGAAUAUUCAACCAUGGAACUAGCAACUCCACAGAGCUUGCUAAAAUACAUCACAGUGUCAUCAACUACAGUUCAUCUUCUGCUUCGCCGCCCGACAGAAGUGCUCAGUCAUACAAAAGAAAAAGGGAAUCGGUCAGAAGAUGUCUUUUUGCCAGUUCUGACCAAAGGUCAUUCCUAAUUGUAUAAUUUUUUUUUACCAAUGUCCAAAUCUUAAACUAUCGCAUGCUCAUGUUUGCCGAUCUUUGUCACCAAUUUCAAACGGUGAUGUAGAAGAUAUCUCAGAAGAAAAUGUGUAGGACUUUGACCAAGUUCCUAUCAAGCUUUUGAAAAAAAAAAAGUCGUCUCCAACCGCUGCAAAAACAGAUUCCGGUUCUUCCAAAAAAGAUAGAUCAUUAUCAACUUUCUCCUGUCCGUUCUGCUGCACAAAGAACGUUGAAUCUUCCUUUUGAACAGAAGUUACCUUCGCACCUCUGAACUAUGUGCAUCGAACAAUGUUUCUCUUAUUUUUUGGUAUGUAAAUAACUCUUUCUAAUCUAUGUUCCAGCAUUUUCCAAUGCUCUCUGUCUAAAUGCUGGCAAAAAUGUGUAGUCUAGGUUGACCAAUAUUUUAUGCGUGUACAUAGUCCAGCAUUUUCUAAUCUUUUGUGUACAAAUGCUUGUCCCAGUUGAAAAUUGGGUGAAAGCAAUGAACCGCAGUGAAUGAUUACAGUGUUUUGUAUAUCUAAAUUUAUUUUAUUGUUUU